UGCAAGUCGAACGGUAGAAGGGGCAACCCUUCGAGAGUGGCGAACGGGUGAGUAAUGCAUCGGAACGUGCCCAGUCGUGGGGGAUAGCCCGGGGAAACCCGGAUUAAUACCGCAUACGACCUGAGGGUGAAAGCGGGGGACCGAAAGGCCUCGCGCGAUUGGAGCGGCCGAUGUCGGAUUAGGUAGUUGGUGGGGUAAAGGCCUACCAAGCCUGCGAUCCGUAGCUGGUCUGAGAGGACGACCAGCCACACUGGGACUGAGACACGGCCCAGACUCCUACGGGAGGCAGCAGUGGGGAAUUUUGGACAAUGGGGGCAACCCUGAUCCAGCCAUGCCGCGUGCGGGAAGAAGGCCUUCGGGUUGUAAACCGCUUUUGUCAGGGAAGAAAUGUCCUGGGUUAAUACCCUGGGGGGAUGACGGUACCUGAAGAAUAAGCACCGGCUAACUACGUGCCAGCAGCCGCGGUAAUACGUAGGGUGCGAGCGUUAAUCGGAAUUACUGGGCGUAAAGCGUGCGCAGGCGGUUAUACAAGACAGAUGUGAAAUCCCCGGGCUCAACCUGGGAACUGCAUUUGUGACUGUAUAGCUGGAGUACGGUAGAGGGGAGUGGAAUUCCGCGUGUAGCAGUGAAAUGCGUAGAUAUGCGGAGGAACACCGAUGGCGAAGGCAGCUCCCUGGACCUGUACUGACGCUCAUGCACG
RNAcentral lists this ribosomal RNA (700 nucleotides) under uncultured beta proteobacterium. Its description in RNAcentral is "bacterial SSU rRNA". It matches the Rfam family "Bacterial small subunit ribosomal RNA", at positions 56 to 755 of the family's 1533-position model. The record is from RNAcentral. Lineage: Bacteria; Pseudomonadati; Pseudomonadota; Betaproteobacteria.